CCUGUUUUUCAAAAACAUGGCUCCUUGUAAACUUUAAAUAAGGAGUCGGACCUGCCCGGUGAAAAUUUUUUAACGGCCGCGGUACCCUGACCGUGCAAAGGUAGCAUAAUCAUUUGCCUUAUAAUUGAAGGCUAGUAUGAAUGGUUUGACAAGGAUAUAACUGUCUCUUUAUAAUUUAAUAGAAUUUUAUUUUUAGGUGAAAAAGCCUAAAUAGCAUUGAAAGACAAGAAGACCCUAUCGAGCUUAAAAAAAAUUAAUAGACAAAGAUUAAUAAGCCUAGAAAAUUAGCUAUUAUAUAUUUUAGUUGGGGCGACUGAGGAACAAUAAAAGCUUCCUUCAUCUUAAUUAAAUACUAUUCAAGUACUGAUCCAGAAUUAUUCUGAUUAAGGAAAUUAGUUACCGUAGGGAUAACAGCAUAAUCUUUUUCAAGAGUUCUUAUCGAAAAAAAGGCUUGUGACCUCGAUGUUGGACCAGAGUAUCCUAAAGAUGCAGCAGUCUUUAAAGGUUGGUCUGUUCGACCAUUAAAACUCUACGUGAUCUGAU
Molecule: ribosomal RNA, 543 nt
Filed under: Belomitra sp. 2 NP-2008
Lineage: Eukaryota; Metazoa; Mollusca; Gastropoda; Neogastropoda; Buccinidae
Description: partial 16S ribosomal RNA
Rfam family: Bacterial large subunit ribosomal RNA
Source: RNAcentral